RNAcentral lists this long non-coding RNA (494 nucleotides) under Physcomitrium patens. RNAcentral describes it as "long non-coding RNA (PPAT_LNC002743)". The record is from RNAcentral. Lineage: Eukaryota; Viridiplantae; Streptophyta; Bryopsida; Funariales; Funariaceae.
UUCCAACUUGAUUCAACACAUAAUCCAUUCUACCACUAUUAAUUCAACAAUACUUCUCUCAAUUACAAUUCUUCAUAAGCAAAUAAUAAAAGCAAAGAAAACAAAGAGGCAGCACCAAGCUUACUCAGGCUUAAGACUUUCACAGUCUAGCUUUGAUCUUUCUUUCCUCAACGUAUUUAUCCUACCAAAAAGGUGAUCCAUCGACUAGCAGAUUCCAAAGGUUAUGAUCUUUUGAAUUCUUAACCAUUUAUUCUACUAAAAACCUAAUGUUAUCAACUAAAUGGCUAACCAUCAGUCUUAUUCUUAAGGUUAUCAUUAACCAACCAGUAACUUACCACAAAAUUUAUUUAUCUAUUCUACAUAGCGCCACUCCUAAUUGUGCAGCGUCCUCGCAAACAUUAUUUUGCCUCAACUUUUAAAGACGUAGCAACAUAUAUUUCCAAAGGUGUUGUCACUAAAACUGGCAUAUUGGUCCACACUAAAUUAUUGGCCUC